GUAACAGAUGAUGCCUGAGUUCACACCAAUACUGUUAGAUAUGCUCCCCGUUCCGUGAUUCCCGAAGCCAACCACUGCACUGUACCACCAUCGCACAGCAUGGAAAUUGUUCUGAUCAAAAUGAACCAGUUUGGUGUCACACCCUACUCCGAUUAUCACGUCUUCUCUUUCUGUAUCUACUGAGAUUUGGAUAUCACUGUGCAACACAAGAAGAAGCAGAGGGAUGGAUAAAGAUGUCUUUUGUCUUGGGAAGAUUAGUCCUCCAAGAAAGGGCAGAGAAAGGAUGAGUACAGGAUGCCUCAGCCACAGUUCCAUCUUCUCCAGCGAGUACACUUCCCAGGAGAGCCAACCUGGGCCGCUCAUCUUAUACCUACUCAUUCAGCAAAUGUGCAAAAUUGACAAAAAAUUCUAAUUUUGAAUGUGCCCAGCUGAUAAGCUACAUUUCCCAGCCUUGCUUGAAGCUAGCAGUGUCUGUGUAACUAAGUUCUGACCAACGAGAUGAAAGCACAAGUCACCGGGUGGAGCUCCCAGGAACGCUCUAUAAAGAUGGAAGACUCAGCUAGCAAGCCUUUGCCCUCUCCUUAUUUCCACCUGGAAUUCAGAGGUGAUGCCACAGGAGAGACAAACAUUUUACAAUUCGAAGGCAAUGAAAAACGACGUUUACAAGUUGCACAACCUGCAGCUAGGAAGGCAUGGUGGUGCAUUACUUACCUUCCCUGGGCUGCCUACCUCUAGGCUUCUUGUUAGGUUUAAUGUAAAUCCUUGUUUGUUUAAGCCAACUGUAGUCCAGUUAUGUCAUACACAAUUGUAAACAAAUUUCUACCUGAUACAAGGAGUAACUGAGAUCUCUAUUUUUAUUUUCCUUACUUUGUUUCUGAAUACCUAUUAUUCCUAAAAAGCUAAGAUAUUGGCCGGGCGUGGUGGCUCACGCCUGUAAUCCCAGCACUUCGGGAGGCUGAGGCAGGUGGAUCACUUGAGGUCAGGAGUUUGACACCCGCCUGGCCAACAUGGUGAAACCCCAUCUCUACUGAAAAUACAAAAAUUAGCUGGAUGUGGUGGUGGGCACCUGUAAUCCCAGCUACUCAGGAGGCUGAGGCAGGAGAAUUGCUUGAACCCCGGAGGCGGAGGUUGCAGUGAGCCAAGAUCAUGCCACUGCACUCCAGCUUGGGUGGCAGAGUGAGACUCCAUCUCAAAUAAAUAAAUAAGUAAAUUUAAAAAGCUAAGAUAAGCUACGAUAUUUAGAGAGAAGGAGGGAAGAAAAGGGGGAGAGGAGGAAAGGUGAAGAUGGAUAAGGAGCUACAGUAAAGCUAAUAGUAAAGACUGGUGGGUCUGGAGCCAGACUAACUAGAUUAGAAUCCAAGCUGUGCUACCCUGAUUCAGUUUACUUUUUCAUUCAACUAAUUCAAAUUGAGCACACACUGUGUGCCAGGCGCUGUUCAAAGUUUUUGGAAAUGAAGUUACUUAACUUCUCAGUACCUCAGUCCUGGUUAAUUAAGUGGAGAUAUUGAUAGUACUACCUUAUGAGGUUAUUGUAAGGAUUAAAUGAGCUACUAUUUGUAAAUACCUAGAGCAGUACACGGCAUCAGGUAAGUGUUCAAUAAAUAUCAGCUAUUGUUAUUUAAAAUAAUUUUAUAGAAGUUUUAAUACAUGAAAAACAAAUUUACUUGUAUUAUUAAAUAAAAAAAUGAAGCUGUAAAAUGGUAUUAUCGCAUUUUUAUCUUGGAAAAGCCAUAUGUAUAUUUAGCAAGAAUACUGAA
Molecule: long non-coding RNA, 1757 nt
Filed under: Homo sapiens (human)
Lineage: Eukaryota; Metazoa; Chordata; Mammalia; Primates; Hominidae
Description: HSALNT0089856
Source: RNAcentral